AUCGCUUCUCGGCCUUUUGGCUAAGAUCAAGUGUAGUAUCUGUUAUUAUCAGUUUAAUAUCUGAUAUGCCCCCGAUUCGGGGGCAACGUAUUAAACGCAUUUUUAGAACAGGGAGCUGAAUAAGUGGCUCGCUCCGUUCGCUCCACGCGUCGACCCGGUAUUGCAGCGCCUCCGGGAACGGUGCCCCUUUG
RNAcentral lists this small nuclear RNA (191 nucleotides) under Oreochromis niloticus (Nile tilapia). RNAcentral describes it as "U2 spliceosomal RNA (ENSONIG00000030156.1)". It matches the Rfam family "U2 spliceosomal RNA". From Rfam's summary of the family: U2 is a small nuclear RNA (snRNA) component of the spliceosome (involved in pre-mRNA splicing). Complementary binding between U2 snRNA (in an area lying towards the 5' end but 3' to hairpin I) and the branchpoint sequence (BPS) of the intron results the bulging out of an unpaired adenosine, on the BPS, which initiates a nucleophilic attack at the intronic 5' splice site, thus starting the first of two transesterification reactions that mediate splicing. Lineage: Eukaryota; Metazoa; Chordata; Actinopteri; Cichliformes; Cichlidae. The record is from Rfam by way of RNAcentral.